ACCUCCUACGGGAGGCAGCAGUGGGGAAUAUUGCACAAUGGGGGAAACCCUGAUGCAGCCAUGCCGCGUGUGUGAAGAAGGCCUUCGGGUUGUAAAGCACUUUCAGUAGGGAGGAAGGUAGUGUAGUUAACACCUGCAUUAUUUGACGUUACCUACAGAAGAAAGCACCGGCCUAAACUCCGUGCCAGCAGCCGCGGGUAAUACGGAGGGUGCGAGCGUUAAUCGGAAUUACUGGGCGUAAAGCGCAUGCAGGCGGCCUGUUAAGUCAGAUGUGAAAGCCCGGGG
Molecule: ribosomal RNA, 285 nt
Filed under: uncultured bacterium
Lineage: Bacteria
Description: partial 16S ribosomal RNA
Rfam family: Bacterial small subunit ribosomal RNA
Source: RNAcentral